This 253-nucleotide ribosomal RNA is filed under the name uncultured bacterium. Its description in RNAcentral is "partial 16S ribosomal RNA". It matches the Rfam family "Bacterial small subunit ribosomal RNA", at positions 524 to 776 of the family's 1533-position model. The record is from RNAcentral.
UACGGGGGGGGCAAGCGUUGUUCGGAAUUACUGGGCGUAAAGGGCGCGUAGGUGGCGCCGUAAGUCAGGUGUGAAAUUUCGGAGCUUAACUCCGAAACUGCAUUUGAUACUGCGGUGCUUGAGGACUGGAGAGGAGACUGGAAUUUACGGUGUAGCAGUGAAAUGCGUAGAGAUCGUAAGGAAGACCAGUGGCGAAGGCGGGUCUCUGGACAGUUCCUGACACUGAGGCACGAAGGCCAGGGGAGCAAACGGG